RNAcentral lists this ribosomal RNA (329 nucleotides) under uncultured eukaryote. RNAcentral describes it as "partial 18S ribosomal RNA". It matches the Rfam family "Eukaryotic small subunit ribosomal RNA", at positions 1470 to 1796 of the family's 1831-position model. The record is from RNAcentral.
CCCUUAGAUGUCCGGGGCUGCACGCGCGCUACACUGUAGAAAGCAGCGUGCUUUAAAACCUUUCCUGAAAAGGAUGGGUAACCCCAGCAAAAUUCUACGUGCUUGGGAUAGAGAUUUGCAAUUUUCUCUCUUGAACGAGGAAUUCCCAGUAAGUGCGAGUCAUCAGCUCGCGUUGAUUACGUCCCUGCCCUUUGUACACACCGCCCGUCGCUCCUACCGAUUGAGUGGUCCGGUGAGGCUUUGGGAUCUGAGCGGAAAGAGCGUUUCGCUGUUUCUGCUCGGAAAACUCAGUCGAACCUUAUCAUUUAGAGGAAGGAGAAGUCGUAACA